GAUGAACGCUGGCGGCGUGCCUAAUACAUGCAAGUCGAGCGAAUGGAUUAAGAGCUUGCUCUUAUGAAGUUAGCGGCGGACGGGUGAGUAACACGUGGGUAACCUGCCCAUAAGACUGGGAUAACUCCGGGAAACCGGGGCUAAUACCGGAUAACAUUUUGAACCGCAUGGUUCGAAAUUGAAAGGCGGCUUCGGCUGUCACUUAUGGAUGGACCCGCGUCGCAUUAGCUAGUUGGUGAGGUAACGGCUCACCAAGGCAACGAUGCGUAGCCGGCCUGGGAGGGUGAUCGGCCACACUGGGACUGAGACACGGCCCAGACUCCUACGGGAGGCAGCAGUAGGGAAUCGUCCGCAAUGGACGAAAGUCUGACGGAGCAACGCCGCGUGGGUGAUGAAGGCUUUCGGGUCGUAAAACUCUGUUGUUAGGGAAGAACAAGUGCUAGUUGAAUAAGCUGGCACCUUGACGGUACCUAACCAGAAAGCCACGGCUAACUACGUGCCAGCCGCCGCGGUAA
RNAcentral lists this ribosomal RNA (515 nucleotides) under uncultured bacterium. Its description in RNAcentral is "partial 16S ribosomal RNA". It matches the Rfam family "Bacterial small subunit ribosomal RNA", at positions 28 to 523 of the family's 1533-position model. The record is from RNAcentral.